CAUGAUUUACCUUCUCACAAUGCUCUAAAGGGGUCGAUGGGCAACAAGAUUUGGGUUCAACUUUUAAGAAUCGCUCGGAGUUGACCGAACAGCCUCAUCAGAGUGGUCAUUCGACCAAACCAUAGCCUUGUAGCUAUAAUUAUAGAACUUGCAACCACGAAACGUCUCAAAUCUCAAGUCUGCACGGUGGCCGCCGCCUUUGACUGCGACCCGAUUUCAACGUUGGCGCUCUCAGUAACACCAAGGUCCUUCUUUCACACAUUCCCGUUCUCGUUCUCCAAUACAGAUAAUUACUUGUCUGUGUGUAUAGGUUUUUAUAUGUUUUGCUACGAACACAAUUGGGUUUUAGACUUUCUGCAGCUGAGAAUUGAGUGGUAUGCAUAUUGGAAGCAUUCGUUAACAAAACCCUUUUGUUAUUUUAAGGAUUUUAGAACUUCUGCAGAUGUGAAAGAGUAAACUACAUUAUUUGGAAGCAUUCUUAUAAUAUUGGUAUAAACGUCAUCGCUACGAAUUAGUUUAAUAUGUCAGAUUUAUGAGUAAAUAUGCCACUUUAGUGAAAAAUCCACUUGUUAUUAGAAGGAUUUUUAAAUUUUCUGCUGCUGAGAAUUGAGUAAAAUGUAGUACUUGGAAGCGCUCUUAUAAUAUUGGUGUAGACGACAUUCCACUAAUUUCGUUUAAUUUAUCAGAUUUACGGUUUAAUAUCCUACUUUGAACACAUUCGUUAUUUGGAGGGUUUUUUAAUAUCUCAUAUUUUUUUAGUAAAGAUUCCUGUUUGUCGUUUUUGUUUUCUUUUGGUCUUUGCUUACUUGGUGAG
RNAcentral lists this long non-coding RNA (814 nucleotides) under Olea europaea subsp. europaea. The record is from RNAcentral. Lineage: Eukaryota; Viridiplantae; Streptophyta; Magnoliopsida; Lamiales; Oleaceae.